AUUGAACGCUGGCGGCAUGCUUUACACAUGCAAGUCGGACGAGUGGCGAACGGGUGAGUAACGCAUCGGAACGUACCGAGUAAUGGGGGAUAACUGUCCGAAAGGACAGCUAAUACCGCAUAUUAUUCGAGCGGCCGAUGUCUGAUUAGCUGGUUGGCGGGGUAAAGGACCAUCAAGGCGACGAUCAGUAGCGGGUCUGAGCGGAUGAUCCGCGACAAUGGGACUGGUACACGGACCCGACUCCUACGGGAGGCAGCAGUUGGGAAUUUUGGACAAUGGGCGCAAUCCUGAUCCAGCCAUGCGGGGUGUCUGAAGAAGGCCUUCGGGUUGUAAAGGACUUUUGUCAGGGAAGCGUUACCUGAAGAAUAAGCACCGGCUAACUACGUGCCAGCCGCCGCGGUAAUUC
RNAcentral lists this ribosomal RNA (406 nucleotides) under uncultured bacterium. Its description in RNAcentral is "partial 16S ribosomal RNA". It matches the Rfam family "Bacterial small subunit ribosomal RNA", at positions 30 to 526 of the family's 1533-position model. The record is from RNAcentral.